RNAcentral lists this ribosomal RNA (1372 nucleotides) under uncultured bacterium. RNAcentral describes it as "bacterial SSU rRNA". It matches the Rfam family "Bacterial small subunit ribosomal RNA", at positions 28 to 1381 of the family's 1533-position model. The record is from RNAcentral.
GAUGAACGCUGGCGGCGUGCCUAAUACAUGCAAGUCGAGCGAACGGACGAGAAGCUUGCUUCUCUGAUGUUAGCGGCGGACGGGUGAGUAACACGUGGAUAACCUACCUAUAAGACUGGGAUAACUUCGGGAAACCGGAGCUAAUACCGGAUAAUAUUUUGAACCGCAUGGUUCAAAAGUGAAAGACGGUCUUGCUGUCACUUAUAGAUGGAUCCGCGCUGCAUUAGCUAGUUGGUAAGGUAACGGCUUACCAAGGCAACGAUGCAUAGCCGACCUGAGAGGGUGAUCGGCCACACUGGAACUGAGACACGGUCCAGACUCCUACGGGAGGCAGCAGUAGGGAAUCUUCCGCAAUGGGCGAAAGCCUGACGGAGCAACGCCGCGUGAGUGAUGAAGGUCUUCGGAUCGUAAAACUCUGUUAUUAGGGAAGAACAUAUGUGUAAGUAACUGUGCACAUCUUGACGGUACCUAAUCAGAAAGCCACGGCUAACUACGUGCCAGCAGCCGCGGUAAUACGUAGGUGGCAAGCGUUAUCCGGAAUUAUUGGGCGUAAAGCGCGCGUAGGCGGUUUUUUAAGUCUGAUGUGAAAGCCCACGGCUCAACCGUGGAGGGUCAUUGGAAACUGGAAAACUUGAGUGCAGAAGAGGAAAGUGGAAUUCCAUGUGUAGCGGUGAAAUGCGCAGAGAUAUGGAGGAACACCAGUGGCGAAGGCGACUUUCUGGUCUGUAACUGACGCUGAUGUGCGAAAGCGUGGGGAUCAAACAGGAUUAGAUACCCUGGUAGUCGACGCCGUAAACGAUGAGUGCUAAGUGUUAGGGGGUUUCCGCCCCUUAGUGCUGCAGCUAACGCAUUAAGCACUCCGCCUGGGGAGUACGACCGCAAGGUUGAAACUCAAAGGAAUUGACGGGGACCCGCACAAGCGGUGGAGCAUGUGGUUUAAUUCGAAGCAACGCGAAGAACCUUACCAAAUCUUGACAUCCUUUGACAACUCUAGAGAUAGAGCUUUCCCCUUCGGGGGACAAAGUGACAGGUGGUGCAUGGUUGUCGUCAGCUCGUGUCGUGAGAUGUUGGGUUAAGUCCCGCAACGAGCGCAACCCUUAAGCUUAGUUGCCAUCAUUAAGUUGGGCACUCUAAGUUGACUGCCGGUGACAAACCGGAGGAAGGUGGGGAUGACGUCAAAUCAUCAUGCCCCUUAUGAUUUGGGCUACACACGUGCUACAAUGGACAAUACAAAGGGCAGCGAAACCGUGAGGUCAAGCAAAUCCCAUAAAGUUGUUCUCAGUUCGGAUUGUAGUCUGCAACUCGACUACAUGAAGCUGGAAUCGCUAGUAAUCGUAGAUCAGCAUGCUACGGUGAAUACGUUCCCGGGUCU